This is a non-coding RNA of Pelobates cultripes (western spadefoot toad), 267 nucleotides long. NCBI's taxonomy places the organism in Eukaryota, Metazoa, Chordata, Amphibia, Anura, Pelobatidae. The record is from the annotation of a GenBank genome assembly.
CCGGUCACUAAAGGGGUUCUCUCCAGGGGGACACCUUUGCGCAGGGCCGUAUACUGGAGACUUCCCAGGGGAGAUAGGGUGAACUCCCCAGGGGCCAGAGGAACUAAUCCUCAGGUAAGCCAUAAAGAAAUUCUAAUAGUCUGAAAAGACCGACAUGUCCUAGGGAUAGGACAGGAAAAAAAAGACUGGGGAAGGAGGGGUAGGAGGUGGUACUUAUACAGCUUAAUAAUUAUUCCUGUCCAAUGGGGAUAGGGAGGAGCUACCCAA